Molecule: ribosomal RNA, 1305 nt
Filed under: Salmonella enterica subsp. diarizonae
Lineage: Bacteria; Pseudomonadati; Pseudomonadota; Gammaproteobacteria; Enterobacterales; Enterobacteriaceae
Description: partial 23S ribosomal RNA
Rfam family: Bacterial large subunit ribosomal RNA
Source: RNAcentral
AUGACGAGGCACCACGGUGCUGAAGCAACAAAUGCCCUGCUUCCAGGAAAAGCCUCUAAGCAUCAGGUAACAUCAAAUCGUACCCCAAACCGACACAGGUGGUCAGGUAGAGAAUACCAAGGCGCUUGAGAGAACUCGGGUGAAGGAACUAGGCAAAAUGGUGCCGUAACUUCGGGAGAAGGCACGCUGACACGUAGGUGAAGUGAUUUACUCACGGAGCUGAAGUCAGUCGAAGAUACCAGCUGGCUGCAACUGUUUAUUAAAAACACAGCACUGUGCAAACACGAAAGUGGACGUAUACGGUGUGACGCCUGCCCGGUGCCGGAAGGUUAAUUGAUGGGGUCAGCGCAAGCGAAGCUCCUGAUCGAAGCCCCGGUAAACGGCGGCCGUAACUAUAACGGUCCUAAGGUAGCGAAAUUCCUUGUCGGGUAAGUUCCGACCUGCACGAAUGGCGUAAUGAUGGCCAGGCUGUCUCCACCCGAGACUCAGUGAAAUUGAACUCGCUGUGAAGAUGCAGUGUACCCGCGGCAAGACGGAAAGACCCCGUGAACCUUUACUAUAGCUUGACACUGAACAUUGAGCCUUGAUGUGUAGGAUAGGUGGGAGGCUUUGAAGCGUGGACGCCAGUCUGCGUGGAGCCGACCUUGAAAUACCACCCUUUAAUGUUUGAUGUUCUAACGUGGACCCGUAAUCCGGGUUGCGGACAGUGUCUGGUGGGUAGUUUGACUGGGGCGGUCUCCUCCUAAAGAGUAACGGAGGAGCACGAAGGUUGGCUAAUCCUGGUCGGACAUCAGGAGGUUAGUGCAAUGGCAUAAGCCAGCUUGACUGCGAGCGUGACGGCGCGAGCAGGUGCGAAAGCAGGUCAUAGUGAUCCGGUGGUUCUGAAUGGAAGGGCCAUCGCUCAACGGAUAAAAGGUACUCCGGGGAUAACAGGCUGAUACCGCCCAAGAGUUCAUAUCGACGGCGGUGUUUGGCACCUCGAUGUCGGCUCAUCACAUCCUGGGGCUGAAGUAGGUCCCAAGGGUAUGGCUGUUCGCCAUUUAAAGUGGUACGCGAGCUGGGUUUAGAACGUCGUGAGACAGUUCGGUCCCUAUCUGCCGUGGGCGCUGGAAGACUGAGGGGGGCUGCUCCUAGUACGAGAGGACCGGAGUGGACGCAUCACUGGUGUUCGGGUUGUCAUGCCAAUGGCACUGCCCGGUAGCUAAAUGCGGAAAAGAUAAGUGCUGAAAGCAUCUAAGCACGAAACUUGCCCCGAGAUGAGUCUUCCCUGAGACUUUGAGUCUCCUGAAGGAACGUUAAAGACGA